GAUGAACGCUGGCGGCGUGCCUAAUACAUGCAAGUCGAGCGAACAGACGAGGAGCUUGCUCCUCUGACGUUAGCGGCGGACGGGUGAGUAACACGUGGAUAACCUACCUAUAAGACUGGGAUAACUUCGGGAAACCGGAGCUAAUACCGGAUAAUAUAUUGAACCGCAUGGUUCACUAGUGAAAGACGGUUUUGCUGUCACUUAUAGAUGGAUCCGCGCCGCAUUAGCUAGUUGGUAAGGUAACGGCUUACCAAGGCGGCGAUGCGUAGCCGACCUGAGAGGGUGAUCGGCCACACUGGAACUGAGACACGGUCCAGACUCCUACGGGAGGCAGCAGUAGGGAAUCUUCCGCAAUGGGCGAAAGCCUGACGGAGCAACGCCGCGUGAGUGAUGAAGGUCUUCGGAUCGUAAAACUCUGUUAUUAGGGAAGAACAAAUGUGUAAGUAACUAUGCACGUCUUGACGGUACCUAAUCAGAAAGCCACGGCUAACUACGUG
Molecule: ribosomal RNA, 497 nt
Filed under: uncultured bacterium
Lineage: Bacteria
Description: partial 16S ribosomal RNA
Rfam family: Bacterial small subunit ribosomal RNA
Source: RNAcentral